RNAcentral lists this ribosomal RNA (496 nucleotides) under uncultured bacterium. Its description in RNAcentral is "partial 16S ribosomal RNA". It matches the Rfam family "Bacterial small subunit ribosomal RNA", at positions 28 to 506 of the family's 1533-position model. The record is from RNAcentral.
GAUGAACGCUGGCGGCGUGCCUAAUACAUGCAAGUCGAGCGAACAGACGAGGAGCUUGCUCCCCUGACGUUAGCGGCGGACGGGUGAGUAACACGUGGAUAACCUACCUAUAAGACUGGGAUAACUUCGGGAAACCGGAGCUAAUACCGGAUAAUAUAUUGAACCGCAUGGUUCAAUAGUGAAAGACGGUUUUGCUGUCACUUAUAGAUGGAUCCGCGCCGCAUUAGCUAGUUGGUAAGGUAACGGCUUACCAAGGCAACGAUGCGUAGCCGACCUGAGAGGGUGAUCGGCCACACUGGAACUGAGACACGGUCCAGACUCCUACGGGAGGCAGCAGUAGGGAAUCUUCCGCAAUGGGCGAAAGCCUGACGGAGCAACGCCGCGUGAGUGAUGAAGGUCUUCGGAUCGUAAAACUCUGUUAUUAGGGAAGAACAAAUGUGUAAGUAACUAUGCACGUCUUGACGGUACCUAAUCAGAAAGCCACGGCUAACUACGU